RNAcentral lists this ribosomal RNA (497 nucleotides) under uncultured bacterium. RNAcentral describes it as "partial 16S ribosomal RNA". It matches the Rfam family "Bacterial small subunit ribosomal RNA", at positions 28 to 507 of the family's 1533-position model. The record is from RNAcentral.
GAUGAACGCUGGCGGCGUGCCUAAUACAUGCGAGUCGAGCGAACAGACGAGGAGCUUGCUCCUCUGACGUUAGCGGCGGACGGGUGAGUAACACGUGGAUAACCUACCUAUAAGACUGGGAUAACUUCGGGAAACCGGAGCUAAUACCGGAUAAUAUAUUGAACCGCAUGGUUCAAUAGUGAAAGACGGUUUUGCUGUCACUUAUAGAUGGAUCCGCGCCGCAUUAGCUAGUUGGUAAGGUAACGGCUUACCAAGGCAACGAUGCGUAGCCGACCUGAGAGGGUGAUCGGCCACACUGGAACUGAGACACGGUCCAGACUCCUACGGGAGGCAGCAGUAGGGAAUCUUCCGCAAUGGGCGAAAGCCUGACGGAGCAACGCCGCGUGAGUGAUGAAGGUCUUCGGAUCGUAAAACUCUGUUAUUAGGGAAGAACAAAUGUGUAAGUAACUAUGCACGUCUUGACGCUACCUAAUCAGAAAGCCACGGCUAACUACGUG